This 85-nucleotide non-coding RNA is filed under the name bovine gut metagenome. RNAcentral's name for it is "TPP riboswitch (THI element)". It matches the Rfam family "TPP riboswitch aptamer (THI element)", at positions 7 to 92 of the family's 105-position model. From Rfam's summary of the family: Vitamin B(1) in its active form thiamin pyrophosphate (TPP) is an essential coenzyme that is synthesised by coupling of pyrimidine and thiazole moieties in bacteria. The previously detected thiamin-regulatory element, thi box was extended, resulting in a new, highly conserved RNA secondary structure, the THI element, which is widely distributed in eubacteria and also occurs in some archaea. Analysis of operon structures identified a large number of new candidate thiamin-regulated genes, mostly transporters, in various prokaryotic organisms. The record is from RNAcentral.
AUGCUAGGGGAGCGAAAGCUGAGAUUGUAUCUUUACAGACCCUUAUUACCUGAUCCGGCUAAUACCGGCGUAGGGAAGCAGGAGA